AUUGAACGCUGGCGGCAGGCCUAACACAUGCAAGUCGAGCGGAUGAAGGGAGCUUGCUCCUGGAUUCAGCGGCGGACGGGUGAGUAAUGCCUAGGAAUCUGCCUGGUAGUGGGGGAUAACGUCCGGAAACGGGCGCUAAUACCGCAUACGUCCUGAGGGAGAAAGUGGGGGAUCUUCGGACCUCACGCUAUCAGAUGAGCCUAGGUCGGAUUAGCUAGUUGGUGGGGUAAAGGCCUACCAAGGCGACGAUCCGUAACUGGUCCGAUAGGAUGCUCAGUCACACUGGAACUGAGACACGGUCCAGACUCCUACGGGAGGCAGCAGUGGGGAAUAUUGGACAAUGGGCGAAAGCCUGAUCCAGCCAUGCCGCGUGUGUGAAGAAGGUCUUCGGAUUGUAAAGCACUUUAAGUUGGGAGGAAGGGCAGUAAGUUAAUACCUUGCUGUUUUGACGUUACCAACAGAAUAAGCACCGGCUAACUUCGUG
This 484-nucleotide ribosomal RNA is filed under the name uncultured bacterium. RNAcentral describes it as "partial 16S ribosomal RNA". It matches the Rfam family "Bacterial small subunit ribosomal RNA", at positions 30 to 507 of the family's 1533-position model. The record is from RNAcentral.